RNAcentral lists this ribosomal RNA (429 nucleotides) under Pseudomonadota bacterium. RNAcentral describes it as "Proteobacteria bacterium partial 16S ribosomal RNA". It matches the Rfam family "Bacterial small subunit ribosomal RNA", at positions 355 to 776 of the family's 1533-position model. The record is from RNAcentral. Lineage: Bacteria; Pseudomonadati; Pseudomonadota.
UGGGGAAUAUUGGACAAUGGGCGAAAGCCUGAUCCAGCCAUGCCGCGUGUGUGAAGAAGGUCUUCGGAUUGUAAAGCACUUUAAGUUGGGAGGAAGGGCAGUAAGCGAAUACCUUGCUGUUUUGACGUUACCGACAGAAUAAGCACCGGCUAACUCUGUGCCAGCAGCCGCGGUAAUACAGAGGGUGCAAGCGUUAAUCGGAAUUACUGGGCGUAAAGCGCGCGUAGGUGGUUCGUUAAGUUGAAUGUGAAAGCCCCGGGCUCAACCUGGGAACUGCAUCCAAAACUGGCGAGCUAGAGUAGGGCAGAGGGUGGUGGAAUUUCUUGUGUAGCGGUGAAAUGCGUAGAUAUAGGAAGGAACACCAGUGGCGAAGGCGACCACCUGGGCUCAUACUGACACUGAGGUGCGAAAGCGUGGGGAGCAAACAGG